Molecule: ribosomal RNA, 496 nt
Filed under: uncultured bacterium
Lineage: Bacteria
Description: partial 16S ribosomal RNA
Rfam family: Bacterial small subunit ribosomal RNA
Source: RNAcentral
AUGCACGCUGGCGGCGUGCCUCAUACAUGCAAGUCGAGCGCACGGACGAGAAGCUUGCUUCUCUGAUGUUAGCGGCGGACGGGUGAGUAACACGUGGAUAACCUACCUAUAAGACUGGGAUAACUUCGGGAAACCGUAGCUAAUACCGGAUAAUAUUUUGAACCGCAUGGUUCAAAAGUGAAAGACGGUCUUGCUGUCACUUAUAGAUGGAUCCGCGCUGCAUUAGCUAGUUGGUAAGGUAACGGCUUACCAAGGCAACGAUGCAUAGCCGACCUGAGAGGGUGAUCGGCCACACUGGAACUGAGACACGGUCCAGACUCCUACGGGAGGCAGCAGUAGGGAAUCUUCCGCAAUGGGCGAAAGCCUGACGGAGCAACGCCGCGUGAGUGAUGAAGGUCUUCGGAUCGUAAAACUCUGUUAUUAGGGAAGAACAUAUGUGUAAGUAACUGUGCACAUCUUGACGGUACCUAAUCAGAAAGCCACGGCUAACUACGUG